ACACGAGACCAGGCGGUGAGGCCUGAAGGACACGGCUCCAGCCCGGCCUCUGUCCCAUCCUGACCUCGCCUGCACUCUAGUGGCCUCCCCCCAACCGGUCAGCUCUCCCCACUCUCCGAGACCCCGGACUCCGGAACAGAGACAGCUUCCAGUGGGGGCGCGGGGUCAGGCUCCCCCCAGUCUGGCUGGCGUCUUCCCGACUUAUGGUCGGUCUCCCUCUCUCCUCGCCACCCUGCAGGUCUCCAUGUGGAGCUCCGUCACCCACUCGCCAAGCCCCUCCCCAGCCCCACAGGCGGGCAAACCCCGUCCCUGUACCACAACCCCCCCACCCCAGGUCCGUGCUGUCCAGGCUGCCCGGGAGGAGUCUCGUCAGGACGAGCUUGUCUCCCCGCCCCUGGCCAGGAGGCGCGGAGGGGCCCCCCUCUUUUCUCAGGUAACACCUAGCCCGGCAGAAAAACCGAACCGGAGCCUUCCGAAUCAGCGUGCCAGCGCCGUGUGAGCCGUGUCCCGGGGCAUCUCCUUUCGUGUCUGAGAUGCCCAGAGCGCCCAGUCACUGCGUGGGAGGACGCCAAGAUGGACAGACAGACACAGACGGGUGGACGUCAGGCCGGCAGGCCCGGCCCAGGCCAGACCCAGGGUCCCUCCGGGGCCCCCGCAGACAGUGGAGGAGGCCCCCGAGUCCACGUACCUUCUUCUGCUCCCUCCCGGGGUGCCCCUUCUUUUUUGACUUCGGAGCCAUCUCUGCAGAGGAAAAAAGAAGGUGGGACCGUGCCUGACAGAGCCCCUCCCGCCAAGCUGCACACCGCUGGCGCCUUUAAAGGCCGAGACACGGGCCGGCGCCCAGCGCCUCCCCUAC
This is a non-coding RNA of Microcebus murinus (gray mouse lemur), 856 nucleotides long. NCBI's taxonomy places the organism in Eukaryota, Metazoa, Chordata, Mammalia, Primates, Cheirogaleidae. The record is from RefSeq and is a predicted model, not a curated record.